Molecule: ribosomal RNA, 451 nt
Filed under: uncultured bacterium
Lineage: Bacteria
Description: bacterial SSU rRNA
Rfam family: Bacterial small subunit ribosomal RNA
Source: RNAcentral
GGCCAGACUCCUACGGGAGGCAGCAGUGGGGGAUAUUGGACAAUGGGGGGAACCCUGAUCCAGCGACGCCGCGUGAGUGAAGAAGUAUCUCGGUAUGUAAAGCUCUAUCAGCAGGGAAGAAAGAAAUGACGGUACCUGAGUAAGAAGCCCCGGCUAACUACGUGCCAGCAGCCGCGGUAAUACGUAGGGGGCAAGCGUUAUCCGGAAUUACUGGGUGUAAAGGGAGCGUAGACGGUAGAGCAAGUCUGAAGUGAAAGCCCGCGGCUCAACUGCGGGACUGCUUUGGAAACUGUUCAACUGGAGUGCUGGAGAGGUAAGCGGAAUUCCUAGUGUAGCGGUGAAAUGCGUAGAUAUUAGGAGGAACACCAGUGGCGAAGGCGGCUUACUGGACAGUAACUGACGUUGAGGCUUGAAAGCGUGGGGAGCAAACAGGAUUAGAUACCCUUGUAGA